CCAUCCCAGGGAAAUGUACUUGGACAGUACACUGAGUUAAUGUCAAUUAUUUCAGCUCUUAGCCUACUGGCAGCCACUCACCCCCACCCCUCACCCUCACCCCUCAACCCAUGUCAGGCAGCUUGCGUGUGUUCUCCUGGAGCACCUUUUACACAGCUAGUGACAGUCCAGCCACCAGGGCCUUGUGAAGAUGCCCCAUCUGACACACCAUCCCAGAAGCUCAGUCUUCUCCAAACAACUAAAUUGAGCAGCACAUUCAGCUCACCAGAAUUACCAAGUUAAGCUUUCAACAAAUACUUAUCUACUAAAGUCAGAAAGACAUACAAGACUAUCUGUGUCCAUUAAUUGCUCCAUUCCUCUGCAAAGUUUAAGGAAAUAUGGGAGGGCACUGUGUUACAUAGCAUGAUGCAAGGGCUCAAGAUUCCAAAUUCGAUAUCACUCUUCUUGUUCUUGGGGAGACAAUGUACCCGUUAAUGGAUUCUUCAAAUAAAAUUGGAAAUAACACCAGAAAAUAUAGGCCCUGUCUAAAAAUGGGUUAAACAUUUCAGCAUCCUUUCUGAAGCAUCUACUGUGAAAGACACUAUCCCAGUGACUGGCAGGGGUUUUCAAAAGGAGGUAGACAUCAAACCUGUCUUCAAGCAGCUUAUAGAACAUACUUGAAAAUGAGACAAAUACCUAAGCAGCUAUCAGAAGGGAGAAAAAUCAACGGCCCCGGGAAUUCAGAAGAAAGAGCCUGCCUGUGGAAAGAGUCUGAGGUCAGUCGUGGACUGCAUUGUUCGACUCACCACCUACGCCCUUUGGGAGUGUGGCCACGAUUUUGAGAAGAUAUGAAACUCUUCUGAUUUUGAAGAAAACCAUGUCCCAAAAGUUUAAACCGAGACUCCCUCGUAACAUUCCACCAGCGUAUGGUAUGAUCUGAUAUAUUGUAGCUUACUUUGUAAAAAUUUAAUAUACUGAUGUUUUAAGAUUCAACC
Canis lupus familiaris (dog) is the source of this 974-nucleotide long non-coding RNA. RefSeq lists it as uncharacterized. The record is from RefSeq and is a predicted model, not a curated record. Lineage: Eukaryota; Metazoa; Chordata; Mammalia; Carnivora; Canidae. The transcript has 6 exons.